This 245-nucleotide ribosomal RNA is filed under the name uncultured bacterium. RNAcentral describes it as "partial 16S ribosomal RNA". It matches the Rfam family "Bacterial small subunit ribosomal RNA", at positions 524 to 767 of the family's 1533-position model. The record is from RNAcentral.
UACGAAGGGGGCUAGCGUUGUUCGGAUUUACUGGGCGUAAAGCGCACGUAGGCGGAUCGUUAAGUCGGGGGUGAAAUCCUGGAGCUCAACUCCAGAACUGCCUUCGAUACUGGCGAUCUUGAGUCCGGAAGAGGUGAGUGGAACUCCUAGUGUAGAGGUGGAAUUCGUAGAUAUUAGGAAGAACACCAGUGGCGAAGGCGGCUCACUGGUCCGGUACUGACGGCUGAGGUGCGAAAGCGUGGGGG